AGAGGUGUAGAUCAACAAGCAGGGGAACAGCGAAUCGGAGAGGUGGUUUCUGGCUGGAAAAGAAUAUUCUGGAAGUCUGGACAGGAAGCCUCCCAGGACCAGGGUAGCAGGAGAGAAAAAGCCCAGAGCAAGUCCUGCAGCUGGAGUGUGUGUUGAUGGGGGCAGGAAGGUCAUGUAGGAGAGGAGGGAGGCAGGCUUGGGGAGGAUGGUCAGAGAAGGGCUUACCUCAACCACCAACUCUCCUGGCAAAUAGGUUUCACAGAUGCUCAGGAUGAACAGAGGGAACGAGGAAAAGAAAGGUCACUGGGUUCUAAGGCCUUCACCAUCUGCAGAACACCUGCCUGAGGGUUAGCCUUCUUCCUGUGAUUGCCUGGAGCAAUGGUCCCCAAGCUGUAAGGGAGGAUGUGUAAAUAAUCCACGGUGUAUUUUAACCUCCAAAAUUGCCUGCAGGCCUGUGAGUUGAGUGGGGAGAAGACACUUUCCUCAUUUUACUGAUGAGAAAACAGAGACUCCCAGAGCAAAGUGACUGACCACAGAAUCAGCCUGUACAGAAGCUGGCACAGAGAGGCAAGAUAAGCCCUGGAUGGAGCUCUUUCCCCCUCACGUCAGGCUUCUGGAUUCAACUGGUACACCAGACACCAAGUCUUAGCAUCCUGGAACACCAAGAACCCUGAGAGAUCAACGCAGGCCUGCCGGAUACCCAAGGGAGAGGAGUUGCAUUCCAGCCAGUCACCUUGGCCCAGGGGAGCCACACGUCUCAGCGAGGGGAGAGCGAGGCCCACAGGUUUGCUCUGGGACCUCCAGGAGUCUGAAUCGCAUCCUUGUGUGGUCAGCCCUCCUUCCCCCAGCCCCCGCUCCUUGCAGGAUCACUGCACGGUUAAGAGCUCACCCUUCCAGCCAGGCUGCCUGGGCUGAAUCUCAAUUCUUCCACUUCCUGGGUGUGUCUGUUUCCCCAUGUGUAACACAGAGAUGUGACAGCUCUGACCUGUAACGUGCUCAGAGCAGGGCCUGCCACACAGUAAAUGCUCCAUCAGAGUUGGCUGCUAUU
Odocoileus virginianus texanus is the source of this 1048-nucleotide non-coding RNA. The record is from RefSeq and is a predicted model, not a curated record. NCBI's taxonomy places the organism in Eukaryota, Metazoa, Chordata, Mammalia, Artiodactyla, Cervidae.